This is a small nucleolar RNA of Syngnathoides biaculeatus (alligator pipefish), 93 nucleotides long. RefSeq annotates it as small nucleolar SNORD12/SNORD106. NCBI's taxonomy places the organism in Eukaryota, Metazoa, Chordata, Actinopteri, Syngnathiformes, Syngnathidae. The transcript has a single exon. The record is from RefSeq and is a predicted model, not a curated record.
GUCGUGGUUAAUGAUGCACACUUUUUUUCCCCGUCUUAUCGACAAUGGUGAAAGAGAAUGAAAACUUAAGCCAGUUGUGUCUGAAACCACGUC